This 232-nucleotide ribosomal RNA is filed under the name uncultured bacterium. Its description in RNAcentral is "partial 16S ribosomal RNA". It matches the Rfam family "Bacterial small subunit ribosomal RNA", at positions 85 to 334 of the family's 1533-position model. The record is from RNAcentral.
CAAUACGAGAGUGGCAGACGGGUGAGUAACACGUGGGAACCUUCCCUAUGGUUCGGAAUAGCUCAGGGAAACUUGAGGUAAUACCGGAUAAGCCCUUACGGGGAAAGAUUUAUCGCCAUUGGAUGGGCCCGCGUCGGAUUAGCUAGUUGGUGAGGUAACGGCUCACCAAGGCGACGAUCCGUAGCUGGUCUGAGAGGAUGAUCAGCCACACUGGGACUGAGACACGGCCCAG